AUUCCCUUCUCCAGGGCACCUUCCCAACCCAGGGGUUGAAUCCAGGUCUCCUGCACUGCAGGUGGACUCUACCAUGAAGCCCCUGUUGGUUUUUAAAUUAACCAAGUAAUUUUUGUGAACAUUUAACACUUGCUACAAAGUAACAGUUGUGCCAGUUAGAACCUUAUUUAUAUCAUUUCAUCACAACCACCAUAAGAGGUACCUAUUAUUUUAAUCCCAUGUUUCACAGAAAAUUUUGAGGUGUAAGAAGUUUGAGUGGUCCUAGAUUAAAAAGCUAGAAAGUGGUGAGUCCCAUUUAAAUCCAGGUAAUCUAAGUCCAGAAUUUUUACAUUCUUUUUUGCCUCUCCUACAUUUAAAAUUUGGAAUAAAGGUAACACACAAGGCCUGUCCUGGAAGAGCUGAUUUUUAGGAAAUCCUUUUGCUACCUACAAAAUAAAAUCUCAGACUCAAUGUAAAUUCAAUGAUUGGAAAACUAUCAAGUAUGUAAGUCUUGAAAAUAGGUUUAACAAUGAACUGUCUAAUACGUAAUCUUCCUAAUACCCUAGUGCAUGCAAGUUAAGUUGCUUCAGUCGUGUCCAACUCUUUGCGACCCUAUGAACUGUAACUUACCAGGCUACUCUAUCCAUGGGAUUCUCCAGGCAAGAAUACUGGAGUGUGCUGCCAACCCUCCUCCAGGGGAUUUUCCCAACCCAGGGCUCAAACCCGAGUCUUAAGUCUCCAGCAGUGGUAGACAGGUUCUUUAUCACUAGCAUCACUUGCGAAGCCCCUAGUGAAGUGUAAAUACCAAUCAUUUCCAUUUUGCAGGUGGAAUGCACGGCAAAUGUAUCUUGACUUUAAGAGCCUUGAAUCUUAAGUGGCCUGCCACCAAUUUGGAUCUUCUUGGCUGAUUACAUGAAGUAUAUCCCCUUUUUGGAAAGACAGACCUAACUCUCGACAUGGAACAUAAGGGUCAUCUGAGGGGUCGUAGUCAAAAUGAGCCUUUACGUGGAUCUAAACAAUAAAAAGGGUAAAAGUAAGGACAAUAAUGAAAUGGCAACACAAUGUUUAGCAUAAAUGUGAGUGUUAUAAAUUUUUCAUCAGCACAAAGAUAUUACAAGUUGAAAAAAAUCAAGGUUAGGUUAGUAAUUGUAUUUGAGGGCAGAAUUUUUUUCAGACUCAUCUGUUUUUUUUCAAUUAAGACAGUCCUGUUGAUUGCAAACAUGUACAAGAGUAUGCUAAACACUGCACUGUUAUUGCUAACAAGCUGAAAUGCCAACAGGCCUUAAAAGUUUGACAGAAGCAGAAGGAAUAUAAAAGAGUCCCUCCCUCUCCAUUCCUGACUUGUGAAAACAAUGACUCUGCAGUAAGGUAUGUAAUUUCUAAACCACUAUUACCAGGAAAGGUAAACUGUAAACCUCUCCACAUCGGUCAUCUAAGCAGGUAAGUGUCAGGUUCCCUGGUGCCAUCAUCUCUUCUUAACCACACUGUCAAUGCCACUGUGCCUUGAUCACUCCGAGUCUAUUCUAAAGGACUAUGUCUAGGUUCAUAUAUAAUCAACCCCAAACUGCUAAAAUUACCUAAAUCAAGUUUAUAACCAAUUCCUACCAUGUUCUGUAUGUAGGCACUGAAAUAUUGUUAGUGCCACAAGCUAAAAUUUUUGCUAACUGUGCUUUGUGUAUCUAAAACCUGCUAUGCUCUCAGCACUAGAAAUAGGUAAGAAUUCACAUGAACCUUAUUAAAAGCCCAAUUAUUUCCUACAGUAUUUUCUCCAAUACACUUCUGUAAGUUAUAACAAAGUAUCCUUACUUCUUAAAAGGUAUAAAGGAAUCAAUAUUCUCCUUAAUUCCUAUCUGUAAUUUUUAUCCAACCUGGUCAAGUGGCAUGUGGCAUUUCCAAAAUCUGCAGAUUAUAUGAAAUCUGAUAAAAUUGAAUUUUAGAGUUAUACACGAUAGUAGUAAGUUAAAACACAGCUGAGAGACUAGGUAAAAAGAUUAUACAUAGAAUUUUAUAACCUUGGCAUGAGAAGCAUAUAAUAUAUAGGAUGAUAAAAAAAAAUCUCUGCUUGUACUAUUCCUAUUAAUCAAUAAUGCUUCCACAUCUAUUUAAAUUGUUGCCUUUUAGCUUAACAAUCCUGGAAAUCUACAUAUGAAACUAUAGGCAUCAUUUAUUGUGGUGGGGAGUUCAUUUUAUUAUCAGGCUUUUCAGAGAUCUAUGAAAUCAGACUUCUUGUCAACCUGAUGGAUGACUUUAUCAAAUCACUUUCUGAAAUCAAUACCCGGCAUGCUGUUUUCAAAGUGUUUUGCUCAGAACACUUACUGGGAUGUUUAUUAAAAUACUGACUUCUUAUACCACAUCUCAAACUUUCAGAUUCUGUAUUUUAAUUAAGUUCCUUGGAUAAUUGCUACAUACAUGCCAUUUAAGAUGUACCCUAAAAUCUUAGGGAAUUAUUAUCCUGAGGGAAACUAAAUAGACCAGUGAAGAUGCUGUAUCUAAGUCUAUGACCUUUGCCAGAGGCAGACAAAAUCACCCAGAGAUGUUUUUCUCCCUAUUGUUGCUUAGGUAUCACCGCUUGACCAUUCAGAUUUAGUUGGUUUGGAAUGGGCCCCUCGUUGUGUUGACUGGAAGAGGAAAAGAGAGGACAUACUUUGUUUAUGUGACAAGUUUAUUUAGUGCUGUUUAAAAUGUACUCUAAAACUGAGAGCAAAGUUUAUUUCACACCAGAGAAAUUAACCAACUGACUGAGUUAAAGUCUGAGUAUUGCCUUAACACAUACUAUGUGACUUUUUUGUGACUUCUAUCUAUAUAUAGGCAUGUAUUGUUUUAUUGUGUUUCACUUUAUUUCAUUUUGCAGAUAUAUAUAUGUGUGUGUGUGUGUGUGUGUGUGUGUGUAAAUUGAAGGUCUGUGGCAACCUUGUGUUGUCAGAUGAAGGUUAGCAUUUUUAAGCAAUAAAGUAUUUUUAAAUAAGUGUAUAUUUGUUGUUUGUUUAGACACAAUGCAAUUGUACUCUUCGCAAACUACAGAACAAUGUAAUUAUAACUUUUACAUGCGAUGGGAAAACAAAAACUUUGUAUGACUCAUUUUAUUUCAGUGAUCUGGAACCUGCAAUAUCCCUUAAGUAUGCCUACAGGCAUUCCACUGCAGUUCUUACAGUUCCAGAAGUUACAUCCAGCAGUCUUACCUCUUCAGUUCAGGGUAGUGGCUACUUUUUUUCCUUUCCCAUACAAAGGAAAACAGAGUCCUUUUUAAAUGAAGGAGAGACUCUGACCCCUACAGGAAAGCCCCAGGGCUUCACCAUGCAGUAGCAUCAGUACAGUAUAUCUGACCAAAACAAUGUUUGGUUUCUAAUUCAAACAAAAUCAUGUGUUUAAAUUUUAAAUUACAGGGUUGUUUAGACACAAUUAUCUUCC
Odocoileus virginianus texanus is the source of this 3387-nucleotide non-coding RNA. NCBI's taxonomy places the organism in Eukaryota, Metazoa, Chordata, Mammalia, Artiodactyla, Cervidae. The record is from RefSeq and is a predicted model, not a curated record.